AUCCAGCUGACGAGUACCAAAUAGGACGAAACGCGCGUCCAACUGGAU
Non-coding RNA from Schistosoma mansoni, 48 nucleotides. Lineage: Eukaryota; Metazoa; Platyhelminthes; Trematoda; Strigeidida; Schistosomatidae. The record is from Rfam.